CCUCUGCCCAGCCUACCCCGGCCGUAGGUCUAAAGCCUUGCUGCGUUGCAUUGUGGCUUGUCGUGAGCCGGGAGGCUCCAGGGCAGAGUUGGCGAGGGGGCAAGGGGUGCAAAGGGCCGGGGCAGCAGGUGGGAGCCUCUCCACACAGACGCCUCCACUCCUUCAGUAGGCCGCUCGCUGCCCCCAUGUUCCUGAGAAGCGUCUACGCACGGCUACUGAGCCGCGGACCUUGCCUUCGAGUCUUUCACUCAUGGGGCUCGGCAGCGGCGCAAACCGGGAAAGGCGGAAAGACCCAGGGCAGAUCGGCCAAGUCCUCACGGCCUGAGUUUGACUGGAGGGACCCACUAGUGCUGGAAGAGCAGCUCACAGCAGAUGAGAUCCUCAUCCGGGACACCUUCCGCACCUACUGCCAGGAGCGCCUCAUGCCCCGCAUCGUGCUGGCCAAUCGCAACGAAGUUUUUCACCGGGAGAUCAUCUCAGAGAUGGGGGAGCUUGGUGUGCUGGGCCCCACCAUCAAAGGGUAUGGCUGUGCUGGAGUCUCAUCUGUGGCCUAUGGACUCCUGGCCCGAGAGCUAGAGCGGGUGGACAGCGGCUACAGGUCAGCAAUGAGUGUCCAGUCCUCCCUGGUCAUGCACCCUAUCUAUGCCUACGGCAGCGAGGAGCAGCAGCAGAAAUACCUGCCCCGGCUGGCCAAGGGGGAGCUCCUGGGCUGCUUCGGGCUCACAGAGCCCAACCACGGGAGUGACCCUGGCAGCAUGGAAACCAGAGCCCGCCACAACCCAUCCAACAGGAGCUACACCCUCAAUGGGGCCAAGACCUGGAUCACCAACUCGCCUGUGGCUGACCUGUUUGUAGUGUGGGCUCGGUGUGAAGAUAAUUGCAUUCGGGGCUUCCUGCUGGAGAAAGGGAUGCGGGGCCUCUCAGCCCCCAAAAUCGAGGGCAAGUUCUCUCUGCGGGCCUCAGCCACGGGUAUGAUUAUCAUGGACGAUGUAGAGGUGCCAGAGGAGAAUGUUCUGCCCAAGGCGUCUAGUCUGGCGGGUCCCUUCGGCUGCCUCAACAAUGCCCGCUAUGGCAUCUCCUGGGGUGUGCUUGGAGCCGCUGAGUUCUGUUUGCACACAGCCCGGCAGUACACUCUGGACAGGAUCCAGUUUGGUGUCCCACUGGCCAAGAACCAACUUAUUCAGAGGAAGCUGGCAGACAUGCUCACCGAGAUCACUCUGGGCCUUCAUGCCUGCCUGCAGCUCGGCCGCUUGAAGGAUCAAGACAAGGUCACCCCGGAAAUGGUCUCCCUGCUGAAGAGGAAUAACUGUGGGAAGGCCUUGGACAUUGCCCGCCAGGCUCGAGACAUGCUGGGUGGGAAUGGGAUUUCUGAUGAGUAUCACGUGAUCCGGCAUGCCAUGAACCUGGAGGCUGUGAACACCUAUGAAGGCACUCAUGACAUCCAUGCUCUGAUCCUCGGAAGGGCAAUCACAGGGAUCCAGGCAUUCACGACCGACAAGUGAACACACUUCACCCAGGAGCCCGGAUGCUACCAAGCCCACACCCAGGGAGAUGCUGUGCUCUGAACUUAAUCAGGGAGGUGGCAGAUGGAGCCAAUUCUGGUGAACAUCUUCACUGAGACAGUGACUCCCACCGCACCAUCUCCAGCCUCUGGCCCACUUUCUGGGUCAGAAAGUCCAAAUCUGUCCUGGAUAUAUUCACGUGCAUAUCUCCAACCACGUCAAAUUCAACAAUGGCAAAUGGAACUUGUGCUCUCCCCUCUGCCAGUGAGACCACCAUCUGCUGGAAACCCCCCAAGCCAGAAAGCAGGAGGCAGUGGUGUACUGGUAAGCAUUUACCAACUGGCUCUCUGGGUGGGGGUGAGAGUGGCGAGGGAAGCCUGGAUCUGCAGUGUUUGCCAAUUUCCAUGGUGCAAAGACUCCCACUACAGCCAAUUUCAAGCUACCAAUGUGGACUAGCUAAAUGCUAAGUUGGGAAGAAAUGUGUAAGAACUGGCUCUUGCUGGUAGGAGCCGACUCAAGCACACCACAGCUGGGAGACAUCCUUGGCUCAUCCCCUUCCUCAUGCCUCACUAAAUGACCUCCCUCCUCUUCUCUCCAUCUGCCCUUCUAGAUGCAACCCCUGUAGAAGCCUCCCACUUAUCUCUUCCACGUCCACUCCUGCUCCCUGCCAUCCAUUCUCCACAAAGCAGCUAAUGUCUUUUUAUUACCAGAACCCAGGCAUGUUACCUCUCUGACCCAGUCACUCCCCUGCUAGGUAUCUAGCCAAGAAAAAUGAAGACUUGUACACGGAUGUUCAUAGCAACAUUAUUCACAAGAGCCAAAGAGCAGAAACAAGACAAAUUUCCAUCAGCUGACGAAUGGAUAAAUAAAAUGUGGUAGAUCCGUAAUAUGGAAUAUUAUUUAGCCACACAGAGGAAUGAAGUUCUGACACGUUACAACAUGGGUGAACCCUGAGAACAUUACACUCAGCAGAAGAAGCCAGUCACAAAGGACCACAUAAUUGUGACUUCAUUUAUAUGAAAUAUCCAGCAGAGGCAAAUCUGUAGAGACAGAAAGUAGAGCUGUGGUUGACAGGGACUUGGAAGGAUGCAAGGACUGGGAGGUGAUGGUAAUGGGUGGAAGGAUUCUUUUCAGGGCAGUGAAAAUGUUAUAAAGUUGAUUGGGGUGAUGGUUGCACAGCUCUGUGAACUUACUAAUAACAACUGAAUUGUAUAUCUUAGGUAGGUGAAUUGUAUGGUAUUCAAACUAUAUCUCAAUAAAGCUGUUACAAAAACAACAACAACAAAAAC
Phacochoerus africanus (Common warthog) is the source of this 2791-nucleotide RNA transcript. It is a transcript of the gene named glutaryl-CoA dehydrogenase, with no coding region annotated. The transcript has 12 exons. NCBI's taxonomy places the organism in Eukaryota, Metazoa, Chordata, Mammalia, Artiodactyla, Suidae. The record is from RefSeq and is a predicted model, not a curated record.